GAGAGGAAGGAAAGCUUGCUUUCCUAAAUCUAGUGGCGAACGGGUGAGUAACACGUAGGUAACCUGCCCAUGUGCCCGGGAUAACUUCUGGAAACGGAUGCUAAAACCGGAUAGGUAGCAGACAAGCAUUUGACUGCUAUUAAAGUGGCUAAGGCCAUGAACAUGGAUGGACCUGCGGUGCAUUAGCUAGUUGGUGAGGUAACGGCCCACCAAGGCGACGAUGCAUAGCCGGCCUGAGAGGGCGGACGGCCACAUUGGGACUGAGACACGGCCCAAACUCCUACGGGAGGCAGCAGUAGGGAAUUUUCGUCAAUGGGGGGAACCCUGAACGAGCAAUGCCGCGUGAGUGAGGAAGGUCUUCGGAUCGUAAAGCUCUGUUGUAAGAGAAAAACGACACUCAUAGGGAAUGAUGAGUGAGUGAUGGUAUCUUACCAGAAAGUCACGGCUAACUACGUGCCAGCAGCCGCGGUAAUACGUAGGUGGCGAGCGUUAUCCGGAAUGAUUGGGCGUAAAGGGUGCGUAGGUGGCAGAUCAAGUCUGGAGUAAAAGGUAUGGGCUCAACCCGUACUUGCUCUGGAAACUGAUCAGCUAGAGAACAGAAGAGGACGGCGGAACUCCAUGUGUAGCGGUAAAAUGCCGUAGAUAUAUGGAAGAACACCGGUGGCGAAGGCGGCCGUCCGGUCUGGAUUCUGACACUGAAGCACGAAAGCGUGGGGAGCAAAUAGGAUUAGAUACCCUAGUAGUCCACGCCGUAAACGAUGAGAACUAGGUGUUGGG
This 777-nucleotide ribosomal RNA is filed under the name uncultured bacterium. Its description in RNAcentral is "bacterial SSU rRNA". It matches the Rfam family "Bacterial small subunit ribosomal RNA", at positions 64 to 827 of the family's 1533-position model. The record is from RNAcentral.